Molecule: transfer RNA, 88 nt
Filed under: Methylopila turkensis
Lineage: Bacteria; Pseudomonadati; Pseudomonadota; Alphaproteobacteria; Hyphomicrobiales; Methylopilaceae
Description: tRNA-Lys
Source: RNAcentral
CGCCGAGCUCGGCUGCGAGCGGCUCCACGCGCUUCUUGAGCGCGUCGCCCUGAUAGGUGAAGGCGAGUUUGGCGCCCGCGUUGGCGGC